AUUGAACGCUGGCGGCAGGCCUAACACAUGCAAGUCGAGCGAGCGGCGGACGGGUGAGUAAUGUCUAGGAAACUGUCUGAUGGAGGGGGAGAACUACGCGAAACGGUAGCUAAAAUCGCAUACCAUCAGAUGUGCCCAGAUGGGAUUUGCUAGAAGGUGGGGUAAUGGCUCACCUAGGCGACGUGCGCUAGCUGAGCUGAGAGGAUGAACAGCCAGACUGGGAUGGAGACACGGCCCAGACUCCGACGGGAGGCAUCAGUGGGGAAUAUUGCACAAUGGGCGAAAGCCUGAUGCAGCCAUGCCGCGUGUGUGAAGAAGGCCUUCGGGUUGUAAAGCACUUUCAGCGGGGAGGCGUUACCCGAAGAAGAAGCACCGGCUAACUCCGUGCCAGCCGCCGCGGUAAUAC
Molecule: ribosomal RNA, 406 nt
Filed under: uncultured bacterium
Lineage: Bacteria
Description: partial 16S ribosomal RNA
Rfam family: Bacterial small subunit ribosomal RNA
Source: RNAcentral